ACGGAGCACGCCGCGUGAGUAUGAAGGUUUUCGGAUCGUAAAACUCUGUUGUUAGGGAAGAACAAGUGCAUAGUAACUGAUGGCACCUUGACGGUACCUAACCAGAAAGCCACGGCUAACUACGUGCCAGCAGCCGCGGUAAUACGUAGGUGGCAAGCGUUGUCCGGAAUUAUUGGGCGUAAAGCGCUCGCAGGCGGUUCUUUAAGUCUGAUGUGAAAUCUUACGGCUCAACCGUAAACGUGCAUUGGAAACUGGGGAACUUGAGUGCAGAAGAGGAGAGUGGAAUUCCACGUGUAGCGGUGAAAUGCGUAGAGAUGUGGAGGAACACCAGUGGCGAAGGCGACUCUCUGGUCUGUAACUGACGCUGAGGAGCGAAAGCGUGGGGAGCGAACAGGAUUAGAUACCCUGGUAGUCCACGCCGUAAACGAUGAGUGCUAGGUGUCAGGGGGUUUCCGCCCCUUAGUGCUGAAGUUAACGCAUUAAGCACUCCCGCCUGGGGA
This 500-nucleotide ribosomal RNA is filed under the name uncultured bacterium. RNAcentral describes it as "bacterial SSU rRNA". It matches the Rfam family "Bacterial small subunit ribosomal RNA", at positions 386 to 879 of the family's 1533-position model. The record is from RNAcentral.